CCUACGGGGGGCAGCAGUGAGGAAUAUUGGUCAAUGGUCGGGAGACUGAACCAGCCAAGCCGCGUGAGGGAGGAAGGUACAGAGUAUCGUAAACCUCUUUUGUCAGAGAACAAAGACUGGGACGCGUCCCCGGAUGAGUGUACCUGAAGAAAAAGCAUCGGCUAACUCCGUGCCAGCAGCCGCGGUAAUACGGAGGAUGCGAGCGUUAUCCGGAUUUAUUGGGUUUAAAGGGUGCGCAGGCGGUCUGUUAAGACAGCGAUCAAAGUCGGGGGCUCAACCCCGGAGCGCCGUUGAAACUGGCAGUCUCGAGUUGGAGAGAAGUAUGCAGAAUGCGCGGUGUAGCGGUGAAAUGCAUAGAUAUCACGCAGAACCCCGAUUGCGAAGGCAGCAUACCGGCACCCUACUGACGCUGAGGCACGAAAGUGCGGGGAUCAAACAGGAUUAGAUACCCCGGUAGUC
RNAcentral lists this ribosomal RNA (459 nucleotides) under uncultured Barnesiella sp. Its description in RNAcentral is "bacterial SSU rRNA". It matches the Rfam family "Bacterial small subunit ribosomal RNA", at positions 338 to 795 of the family's 1533-position model. The record is from RNAcentral. Lineage: Bacteria; Pseudomonadati; Bacteroidota; Bacteroidia; Bacteroidales; Barnesiellaceae.